RNAcentral lists this ribosomal RNA (484 nucleotides) under uncultured bacterium. RNAcentral's name for it is "partial 16S ribosomal RNA". It matches the Rfam family "Bacterial small subunit ribosomal RNA", at positions 28 to 507 of the family's 1533-position model. The record is from RNAcentral.
AUUGAACGCUGGCGGCAUGCUUUACACAUGCAAGUCGAACGGCAGCGCGGGCUUCGGCCUGGCGGCGAGUGGCGAACGGGUGAGUAAUGCAUCGGAACGUGCCCAGUAGUGGGGGAUAGCCGGGCGAAAGCCGGAUUAAUACCGCAUACGACCUGAGGGUGAAAGCGGGGGACCGAAAGGCCUCGCGCCAUUGGAGCGGCCGAUGUCGGAUUAGCUAGUUGGUGGGGUAAAGGCGUACCAAGGCGACGAUCCGUAGCUGGUCUGAGAGGACGACCAGCCACACUGGGACUGAGACACGGCCCAGACUCCUACGGGAGGCAGCAGUGGGGAAUUUUGGACAAUGGGGGCAACCCUGAUCCAGCCAUGCCGCGUGCGGGAAGAAGGCCUUCGGGUUGUAAACCGCUUUUGUUCGGGAAGAAAUCCUCUGGGCUAAUACCCCGGGGGGAUGACGGUACCGGAAGAAUAAGCACCGGCUAACUACGUG